GAUUACCCUGUGUUUAUUUAGUUUCUCUGUUUUCCCCUCUCCUGCUGACAGUUCAUUGGGUCUUUUCUCCUGUAUUCACCAGUGUUCCUCAUGGAUUUUGUGGGACUCCCUGUUGGACUUUGGUUAAAGUGUGCAGAGAUUACAUCAUUGAGAGCAGACAGGGAGUACAAACGGGGAUACUGGUCCAAAUAUGGCAUUAGCUGGUGAAAUCCUUUGUCUUCUACCUCAUGAGAUAGCAGCAGUCAAUACACAACAGGAAAUGAGGAGGACAGAGAAUGAAGGGAACACACUCAACAAAAGACCCCAGUGGGACUUGAAACUGGGGAAUGUUGUAAUUAGCGGGUUUUCUUUCACAUACAACAAAGUAUUAAAGGUGAUCUGCAAUGUAACACCUCACUGGAACUGUGUCAUUUAAAAGAGCUCUGUCUUUUCCUCCAACUCAAAACUGGAAAAACUCAGAACAGUUGCACAAAGAUGCUGUCACCUCAACAGAACCCUACAAAUCUACACUGACCUGUGUGUAUAACCAAUGGACUCAUGAAAUGUAUGAGAUGCUCUUUAUAGUAAAAACCAACAGACAAUUACUCCAUAUCACUAUAAACCCAUUGAGCGCUUAAGUGUCUGUCAAUGGUCUGAUUUUACUUUAUGGCCUUCAGCUUACUACGACCAAUGUGAUUCACUGCAACCGCUCUUAUCAGUAGUUUAAUUAUUUGAAAUUGUAAUAGUUAUAAACCAAAUGUCAAACAGAAGCUCCAGAUUGUAAAUGGUAAAUGGAAGUGUGUUUAUAUAUCACUGUACGUAUAGUCACAUAUGACACAUUCACCCAUUCACACUAUGUUCACACACUGAUGGCAGACGCUAUACUGAGUGACCAUCAGUGUUAACUCCAGCAGUCAACAAUACAUUUAAAAUUUUUAUGUUCAUAUUAACAAUGUAAAGCACUUCUUGCCAGUAUCGUGGUUUCAUCCUCUGGUCUGUAAUGAUUUGCACACUCCAGCAUAGAGCUCUACCAUCUCUUGUGAUGUGGUUGUUUGCUGACAUCAGUGUGAUUAGCAGCACCUGUAAGCUUAGCUCAUAAGUAGUAGCUUGAACUCAAUGUACUUUGGUGAUAUUUUAAUCCAGUUUGAUAUAAAGUGUAAUUACUUUUGAUAA
Notolabrus celidotus (New Zealand spotty) is the source of this 1152-nucleotide long non-coding RNA. RefSeq lists it as uncharacterized. The record is from RefSeq and is a predicted model, not a curated record. The transcript is spliced from 4 exons. Lineage: Eukaryota; Metazoa; Chordata; Actinopteri; Labriformes; Labridae.